RNAcentral lists this unclassified non-coding RNA (385 nucleotides) under soil metagenome. Its description in RNAcentral is "partial contains 5.8S ribosomal RNA, internal transcribed spacer 2, and large subunit ribosomal RNA". The stretch from base 1 to 120 matches the Rfam family "5.8S ribosomal RNA", at positions 35 to 154 of the family's 154-position model. The record is from RNAcentral.
GAUGAAGAACGCAGCGAAGUGCGAUAAGUAGUGUGAAUUGCAGAAUUCCGUGAAUCAUCGAAUCUUUGAACGCAAAUUGCACUCCCUGGCAUCCCGGGGAGUAUGCCUGUUUGAGGGUCAGUAAAUUUAAAAUCGGUGCGUUGCAAUUUUUUUGUAACGUUUCCGGAGUUUGGGUUAUCUUAGCUUUGAGGUUAAGAGGCUUAAAAUUGACGUCAUUUCGCGCACUUUUAGACGUACAUAAAUUAAUUUUUAUUCGUCUAACCUGGUGCCGAAGGUUAUUAGAUGUGAUCAUGUUUCGUGGUCUCGUGUCUAUAAUUUUAUCAUGAUUUGACCUCAAAUCAGGUAGGAAUACCCGCUGAACUUAAGCAUAUCAAUAAGCGGAGGA